GAUGAAGAACGUAGCGAAAUGCGAUAAGUAAUGUGAAUUGCAGAAUUCAGUGAAUCAUCGAAUCUUUGAACGCACAUUGCGCCUGCCAGUAUUCUGGCGGGCAUGCCUGUCCGAGCGUCAUUUCAACCAUCAAGCCCCCGGGCUUGUGUUGGGGACCUGCGGCUGCCCGCAGGCCCUGAAAACCAGUGGCGGGCUCGCUGUCACACCGAGCGUAGUAGCAAUCACCUCGCUCAGGGCGUGCUGCGGGUUCCGGCCGUUAAACAGCCUUACAAAACCCAAGGUUGACCUCGGAUCAGGUAGGAAGACCCGCUGAACUUAAGCAUAUCAAUAAGCGGAGGA
This 339-nucleotide unclassified non-coding RNA is filed under the name soil metagenome. RNAcentral describes it as "partial contains 5.8S ribosomal RNA, internal transcribed spacer 2, and large subunit ribosomal RNA". The stretch from base 1 to 120 matches the Rfam family "5.8S ribosomal RNA", at positions 35 to 154 of the family's 154-position model. The record is from RNAcentral.